This 267-nucleotide ribosomal RNA is filed under the name uncultured bacterium. RNAcentral describes it as "partial 16S ribosomal RNA". It matches the Rfam family "Bacterial small subunit ribosomal RNA", at positions 793 to 1055 of the family's 1533-position model. The record is from RNAcentral.
GUCCACGCUGUAAACGAUGAUCACUGGGUGUGGCGGGUAAUCAUUCCUGCCGUGCCGCAGCUAACGCGUUAAGUGAUCCGCCUGGGGACUACGGUCGCAAGACUAAAACUCAAAGGAAUUGACGGGGGCCCCGCACAAGCGGUGGAGUAUGUGGUUUAAUUCGACGCAACGCGAAGAACCUUACCUGGGCUUGACAUCCCCGGCCAGUCCUUGAAAGAGGAUCUUCCCCUUCGGGGGACCGGGAGACAGGUGCUGCAUGGCUGUCGU